Non-coding RNA from Acanthosepion pharaonis, 107 nucleotides. The record is from the annotation of a GenBank genome assembly. NCBI's taxonomy places the organism in Eukaryota, Metazoa, Mollusca, Cephalopoda, Sepiida, Sepiidae.
UACAGCCAUAUCACAUUUAAUCACUGGUUCCCGUAUUAUCACUGAAGUUAAGCAACAUCGAGCCUGGUCAGUACCUAGAUGGGUGACCGCUUGGGAAUACCAGGUGU